RNAcentral lists this ribosomal RNA (700 nucleotides) under uncultured bacterium. RNAcentral describes it as "bacterial SSU rRNA". It matches the Rfam family "Bacterial small subunit ribosomal RNA", at positions 8 to 694 of the family's 1533-position model. The record is from RNAcentral.
AGAGUUUGAUCCUGGCUCAGGACGAACGCUGGCGGCGUGCUUAACACAUGCAAGUGGUGCGACGAACCAGGGCUUGCCCUGGGGCGAAGCCGCGAACGGGUGAGUAACACGUGAGUAACCUGCCCCGAUGACCGGGACAACCCGAGGAAACUCGGGCUAAUACCGGAUGUGGCGCACAGGUCUAAGCCUGUUCGCUAAAGGAAGCUUCGGCCUCCGCAUUGGGAGGGGCUCGCGGCCCAUUAGCUUGUUGGUGGGGUAACGGCCUACCAAGGCAACGAUGGGUAGCUGGUCUGCGAGGACGAUCAGCCACACUGGGACUGAGACACGGCCCAGACUCCUACGGGAGGCAGCAGUGGGGAAUCUUGCGCAAUGCGCGAAAGCGUGACGCAGCAACGCCGCGUGGGGGAAGACGGCCUUCGGGUUGUAAACCCCUUUCAGGAGGGACGAAGGUUCGCCGGUGAAUAGCCGUGCGGAUUGACGGUACCUCCAGAAGAAGCUCCGGCUAACUACGUGCCAGCAGCCGCGGUAAUACGUAGGGGGCAAGCGUUGUCCGGAAUCAUUGGGCGUAAAGCGCGCGUAGGCGGCCCUGUAAGUCCGUUGUGAAAGUCAAAGGCUCAACCUUUGAAAGCCGAUGGAUACUGCAGGGCUAGAGUCCGGAAGAGGCGAGUGGAAUUCCUGGUGUAGCGGUGGAAUGCGCAGA